This is a long non-coding RNA of Stegostoma tigrinum, 286 nucleotides long. RefSeq lists it as uncharacterized. The record is from RefSeq and is a predicted model, not a curated record. The transcript is spliced from 3 exons. NCBI's taxonomy places the organism in Eukaryota, Metazoa, Chordata, Chondrichthyes, Orectolobiformes, Stegostomatidae.
GGGGGGAAAAAGUGAUUGCCACGUGAUGACAGCUCCAUUGAAGAGAUUUUUAAAAAUAAGCAGGACCCUGUGUAAUUCUUAAAGUAAAUCACAUAAAUAUCACUUCCCUGAAAUCAGAAGCAGUGAUUCAUAUACUAUAGAGUCAAUGCUAUAACGUAACGCCACCAAGACUCUAUGGCUACCACAAUUGCAUAUUCUGACAAUAAUGGGUGCAGGGAGAACAAUGUGUGCAUAGGAAUAUUAUCGUUGCAAGCAAAACAAAAGCAUCUUGGAACCGGAGGAGACC